Molecule: long non-coding RNA, 188 nt
Organism: Thalassophryne amazonica
Lineage: Eukaryota; Metazoa; Chordata; Actinopteri; Batrachoidiformes; Batrachoididae
Exons: 3
Source: RefSeq, a predicted model, not a curated record
GGAGGCAGUAGACCAUGGUGGAGGCCAAGAGCACGCCAACGAUGCACAAGAUGGACACGACGGUGAGGAUGAGGAACUUGGUAGACUCGGCUUGGCUGUACUUGGUCGGAAUCUGGUUGAUCUGGCUCUCCUAAUCAUCUCGCAACCAGCACCUCCUCCCGCUUCCACUUCCCAUUCCAGUCCGGCUG